RNAcentral lists this ribosomal RNA (611 nucleotides) under Sphingomonas sp. RNAcentral describes it as "bacterial SSU rRNA". It matches the Rfam family "Bacterial small subunit ribosomal RNA", at positions 117 to 763 of the family's 1533-position model. Lineage: Bacteria; Pseudomonadati; Pseudomonadota; Alphaproteobacteria; Sphingomonadales; Sphingomonadaceae. The record is from RNAcentral.
GUGGGAAUCUGCCCCUUGGUUCGGAAUAACAGCUAGAAAUGGCUGCUAAUACCGGAUGACGACGUAAGUCCAAAGAUUUAUCGCCGAGGGAUGAGCCCGCGUAGGAUUAGCUGGUUGGUGUGGUAAAGGCGCACCAAGGCGACGAUCCUUAGCUGGUCUGAGAGGAUGAUCAGCCACACUGGGACUGAGACACGGCCCAGACUCCUACGGGAGGCAGCAGUGGGGAAUAUUGGACAAUGGGCGCAAGCCUGAUCCAGCAAUGCCGCGUGAGUGAUGAAGGCCUUAGGGUUGUAAAGCUCUUUUACCCGGGAUGAUAAUGACAGUACCGGGAGAAUAAGCUCCGGCUAACUCCGUGCCAGCAGCCGCGGUAAUACGGAGGGAGCUAGCGUUGUUCGGAAUUACUGGGCGUAAAGCGCACGUAGGCGGCUUUGUAAGUUAGAGGUGAAAGCCUGGAGCUCAACUCCAGAAUUGCCUUUGAUACUGCAUGGCUUGAAUCCAGGAGAGGUGAGUGGAAUUCCGAGUGUAGAGGUGAAAUUCGUAGAUAUUCGGAAGAACACCAGUGGCGAAGGCGGCUCACUGGACUGGUAUUGACGCUGAGGUGCGAAAGCGUG